RNAcentral lists this ribosomal RNA (226 nucleotides) under uncultured soil bacterium. Its description in RNAcentral is "partial 16S ribosomal RNA". It matches the Rfam family "Bacterial small subunit ribosomal RNA", at positions 26 to 280 of the family's 1533-position model. The record is from RNAcentral.
AGAACGAACGCUGGCGGCAUGCCUAAUACAUGCAAGUCGAACGAGAUCUUCGGGUCUAGUGGCGCACGGGUGCGUAACGCGUGGGAAUCUACCCUUGGGUUCGGAAUAACAGUUGGAAACGACUGCUAAUACCGGAUGAUGACGAAAGUCCAAAGAUUUAUCGCCCAGGGAUGAGCCCGCGUAGGAUUAGCUAGUUGGUGAGGUAAAGGCUCACCAAGGCUACGAU